CCAAUAGCGUAUAUUAACGUUGUUGCAGUUAAAAAGCUCGUAGUUGAAUUUCGGGAUCAAAUUGUCGGUCGUGCCUCGGUACGCCCUGGUUUUAUUGGUUCCUCCCUUCUGAAGAACCACGAUGUCAUUCAUUUGGUGUCGUGGGAAAUCAGGACUGUUACUUUGAAAAAAUUAGAGUGUUUAAAGCAAGCUCACGCUUGAAUACAUUAGCAUGGAAGAAUGAAAUAGGACGUUUGAUUCUAUUUUGUUGGUUUCUAGGAUCGACGUAAUGAUUAAUAGGGAUAGUUGGGGGCAUUAGUAUUCAAUUGUCAGAGGUGAAAUUCUUGGAUUUAUUGAAGACUAACUACUGCGAAAGCAUUUGCCAAGGAUGUUUUCAUUAAUCAAGAACGAAAGUUAGGGGAUCGAAGACGAUCAGAUACCGUCGUAGUCUUAACCAUAAACUAUGCCGACUAGGGAUCGGAUGAUGUUAAUUUUUUAAUGACUCAUUCGGCGCCUUACG
RNAcentral lists this ribosomal RNA (499 nucleotides) under uncultured Glomeromycotina. RNAcentral describes it as "partial small subunit ribosomal RNA". It matches the Rfam family "Eukaryotic small subunit ribosomal RNA", at positions 591 to 1092 of the family's 1831-position model. Lineage: Eukaryota; Fungi; Glomeromycota. The record is from RNAcentral.